UACAGAGGUCCCGAGCGUUGUUCGGAUUCACUGGGCGUAAAGGGUGCGUAGGUGGUGGGGUAAGUCGGAUGUGAAAGUCGGGGGCUCAACCCUCGGAUGCCGGUGGAUACUGUCGGGCUUGAGUACGGAAGAGGCGAGUGGAAUUCCUGGUGUAGCGGUGAAAUGCGCAGAUAUCAGGAGGAACACCAAUUGCGAAGGCAGCUCGCUGGGACGUUACUGACGCUGAGACGCGAAGGCCAGGGGAGCAAACGGG
Molecule: ribosomal RNA, 253 nt
Filed under: uncultured bacterium
Lineage: Bacteria
Description: partial 16S ribosomal RNA
Rfam family: Bacterial small subunit ribosomal RNA
Source: RNAcentral